AGAUAAAUUUGGAUGGGGCUCAGAGCCAGAAAAAGAUUCUCCAGCAGGCAAGGGGUUACUAGAUCCCUGCCUGUUAGAUAGCUGAUUUGGGCAGGUGAGGUUGCAUAUUGGCUUCUGCUCUUCUCCCAAAGCUGAAGAAGCUAUCUGGUCAAACGGGGAGACACUCCCUUGAUUGUUACAGGCAAAGUUUCAUAGUUGUUUUCUCUAUUACCUGCCCAGCCUUGAAGAUCAGGGGGACAACAAAAAAAGUGACCUGGGAAAUGUGCCUGUGGGACACGGCAAGGAUGGAUACAAAAAAAUAAAUAAAAAUGGUUACUUACCUGCAGGGAAGACAAUGCCAGAGGAGAGAGUCCACGCGGUUCACAAGCUGCACCUUUAUUCAAUUAAAGCCGGUGGGUGAUGUCAUAACGAAUCACCAGCCAGCGGGAAUAAAGGCAGGCACCGGCGAAGAGGUACGGGGAGCGAGAGAGGUGGCAGAGGCUCCUCACACUGGUAGCGGGGUGUGCUGGCAUGAUCAAAGGCAACCUGGGCAGGGAGUGGCAGCAGAGUCCGGGAGCUCCCAGUGUCAGUGGAAACAAAGUCAAACCCUGGACAGCGGGGAGUGCUCGGGGUGACGAGCUCUGAACACCGCCAAGGGAGCGCAGUGUUGGAGGCACCGGUCAGCAGAGAGACAAAGACGGAGACCUGGGGAGAGAGGCUGUGACCAACCCUGGGGAUACAGAGGCUCACCUGCCUGGUCGCUCCCAGGUAUUGGGCUGUGGAGAUGGGCUGGGGAAUGAAAAAGGAAGGGAGAUGUCGAGGGAACGAAGUCUGGGAGAAUCUUGCCGGGUACAGGUAGGAGAGCUGAGGGGACCGGCCCAUAGGACCCUGGAUUUGCAGGGUUUUUAUUCCUUUUUUCUUUUCCUUUUUGUUGGCGUGAGGGCACCUGAACAGGCCUCAGGAGCAGACCUUGUCAGCAGCAGGGGACUCUAGACACAGGGGCUAAGCUAAUUUGCCAUCCCACUCACGGGAAGUGAGGGGACAAAGCAUACGGCCUUGAAGAGGUGACAAAACUUGGGAACAGCCACGCUGGAGGAACUGCCACCUUAAGACCUGGCGUCCCAUCGGAGUGCCUAAAACACCUGAUGGAGAUUAUGACUUUAUGACCUUAUCACCUUAAUCUGCAUACAAAUCCCUGUUCCAAAGAGCUCGCAACUCAAAGGCAUGAAAAUGCACAAAUGGUGAACAAACCCAAGAAGGUGAUAGAAGACAAUGAGACAAGACAAGAGGACAACAUUCAAUUCAUAGUUGCCAAGUAAGUGCCAAAUGAAACUGACUCUGAUACAAGGGAAUUCUGUUUUGCUUAUAAAAAUAAAUAAAAGCUGUCUUUGGUGUAUGUAGAGAAGUCUCUUGAAGGAAUAUUUGGGCAUAAAAUUUAUAUCUAUGGGCUUUGUUAUGCAUUAUACUUUAAGCUUCAGUCGCAUGCUUAGGCAAGCAGGGGGCUUGAGGAUUGAAAGGUAAGAAUCCCUCUUUCCCUCCUCUCCCAUCCCUCAACUUACCUGUCUGGGCAGCAGUGGUAGUAGCAGCUGGGCAGGCAGGUUCCCCUUCUCUGCCUGCUUCCCCAGGCUGGCACCAGCAACCACAUGCAAGCCAGGAGCUAUAAUGUGGGUAAGCAGAGAUCUGAGGUGGUGGAGGGAGCA
Molecule: long non-coding RNA, 1679 nt
Organism: Alligator mississippiensis (American alligator)
Lineage: Eukaryota; Metazoa; Chordata; Crocodylia; Alligatoridae
Exons: 3
Source: RefSeq, a predicted model, not a curated record